Molecule: ribosomal RNA, 253 nt
Filed under: uncultured bacterium
Lineage: Bacteria
Description: partial 16S ribosomal RNA
Rfam family: Bacterial small subunit ribosomal RNA
Source: RNAcentral
UACGAAGGGUGCAAGCGUUACUCGGAAUUACUGGGCGUAAAGCGUGCGUAGGUGGUUUGUUAAGUCUGAUGUGAAAGCCCUGGGCUCAACCUGGGAAUUGCAUUGGAUACUGGCAGGCUAGAGUGCGGUAGAGGAUGGCGGAAUUCCCGGUGUAGCAGUGAAAUGCGUAGAGAUCGGGAGGAACAUCUGUGGCGAAGGCGGCCAUCUGGACCGGCACUGACACUGAGGCACGAAAGCGUGGGGAUCAAACAGG